GACGAACGCUGGCGGCGUGCUUAACACAUGCAAGUCGAACGGAAGGGCCCUGCUUUUGUGGGGUGCUCGAGUGGCGAACGGGUGAGUAACACGUGAGUAACCUGCCCUUGACGGUGGGAUAACUUCAGGAAACUGGGGCUAAUACCUGAUAGGAGCUCCUGCUGCAUGGUGGGGGUUGGAAAGUUUCGGCGGUUGGUGAGGGACUCGCGGCUUAUCCGCUUGGUGGUUGGGUAGUGUCUUAGCAAGGCUUUGACGGGUAGCCGGCCUGGGAGGGUGACCGGCCACAUUGGGACUGAGAUACGGCCCGGACUCCAACGGGAGGCAGCAGUGGGGAAUAUUGUACAAUGGGCGGAAGCCAGAUGUAGCAAAGCCGCGUGGGGGAUGACGGCCUUCGGGUUGUAAACCGCUUUCGCCUGUGACGAAGAGUGAGUGACGGUAAUGGGUAGAGAAGCACCGGCUAACUACGUG
Molecule: ribosomal RNA, 468 nt
Filed under: uncultured bacterium
Lineage: Bacteria
Description: partial 16S ribosomal RNA
Rfam family: Bacterial small subunit ribosomal RNA
Source: RNAcentral